RNAcentral lists this long non-coding RNA (1099 nucleotides) under Equus asinus (donkey). RNAcentral's name for it is "lncRNA (ENSEASG00005035962.1)". Lineage: Eukaryota; Metazoa; Chordata; Mammalia; Perissodactyla; Equidae. The record is from RNAcentral.
CAGAUCUUGGUUUCUAGAUAUCAUUCCCCAUUAAAGGGAACCAAAGAUUCUAGAAGAAAUGAGAAAUGAGUGAUUCCAGAACUGGAGUUGGGAAGGUAUAAGACGAGUCUGGAACAUCUUCUUGUACCAGAAAGUAAUUAAGUGCUCAAAAGGACAGAGGGGCCAGCUUGAAGGACUAGUACCAGCCAAAUCCAGAACAAUUUGAGCAGCAACAUCAAUAAGAUAACUCAUUAAAGUCCUGAAAUUUUAACAACCGGCUCUCAUCAACCAGCUCCAGCACAUCACUGACUGCCCAUUUUACCAAUAAGAAAACUAAAGCUCAGAGAGAUUGUCACUAACUAGCCCUGGUCACACAGGACAGAGCCACGCAGGUGGAUGGGAAACCUGACCAGGAAAGGAGGAAAGAAUAAACGGAAAGUGAACACGUACCUGACAGCCUGGUUCAGGAUCUGGCAGGAUGUGGUCCCUCCAGAGAUCUGGCUAAGUCAAGAUUCAACAACCAGCAAUUGGGUAACAACUGGAAGAAAUAAUAGAUCAUUCAUCGUUUUUUACAACAUCUGUAUUCAAUGUUCCUUUUCACACAUUUUCACCGUACUUAACGAAAACGUUAUUUAAGACUUAUCUUAGAGGUCAUAGAAAAGGCCAAGUAUUAAAAAUCAACUAAAGUUUCCAAGAGAGAAAAACAAAUUUAUCAACAGUAAGUCGUUCAGCUCUCAACACAGAUACAACUUGGCCCCAGGUCUGACCCAGUCCUCCUCUACCACAGCAUUUUCAAAUCUGCCGCCUCUGCCUUCAGCGACUGCUCACUGGCGGCGCCCUGUCGUGAUGCUACCACAAUCCAGCGUCACAUCUCGCUUUCCAGGAAGUGUGCGGCGACAUAUCACUAUAAUCAGCGUCCUAACGCCACAAGUCGUAAGGUCGCUCAGGAGCCAUCUUAAUUUACAUUGUGGAAUUCUUGUACAAAAGUGCUUCGAAGCGUCUCCGACAGAGAACGUUCCAGCAGAAAACGCUGCUUUUCGAGCGCCACAAGCUUCUACCGCGGCCGUCGCCAGCGCAGAGGACCGGCCCCCACCCGCUCGGGAAUGAAGCAGCGCUUGCG